RNAcentral lists this long non-coding RNA (267 nucleotides) under Homo sapiens (human). RNAcentral describes it as "HSALNT0205686". The record is from RNAcentral. Lineage: Eukaryota; Metazoa; Chordata; Mammalia; Primates; Hominidae.
CACACACACACACACACACACACACACACACACACACACACACACAGUUUUUCUUUCUGGCAACUCCCUUUGUCUACUUUGCUGAACGAUCUUCCUUCCCUCACCCUCUCUAUGCUGGAGUUCCUCAGGACUCAGUCUUGGGUCCUUUUCAUCUACGCUACAUUUCCUGUGGUGUAUCAUUCACUUCAUGGGUUUGGAUUCCAGGAGCUUCCAUGUUUGUGUAUCCCACGCAGAUCUCUUCUCAGAGUUCCAGGUCCUUUCCUCUAA